AUUGAACGCUGGCGGCAGGCCUAACACAUGCAAGUCGAGCGAGCGGCGGACGGGUGCGUAAUGUCUAGGAAACUGCCGGAUGGAGGGGGAUAACUACUGGAAACGGUAGCUAAUACGGCAUACCAUCAGAUGUGCCCAGAUGGGGUUAGCUGGUAGGUGGGGUAACGGCUCACAUAGGCGACGAUCCCUAGCUGGUCGGAGAGGAUGACCAGCCACACUGGAACUGAGACACGGUCCAGACUCCUACGGGAGGCAGCAGUGGGGAAUAUUGCACAAUGGGCGCAAGCCUGAUGCAGCCAUGCCGCGUGUGUGAAGAAGGCCUUCGGGUUGUAAAGCACUUUCAUCGGGGAGGCGUUACCCGCAGAAGAAGCACCGGCUAACUACGUGCCAGCAGCCGCGGUAAUUC
Molecule: ribosomal RNA, 406 nt
Filed under: uncultured bacterium
Lineage: Bacteria
Description: partial 16S ribosomal RNA
Rfam family: Bacterial small subunit ribosomal RNA
Source: RNAcentral